Molecule: long non-coding RNA, 1171 nt
Organism: Topomyia yanbarensis
Lineage: Eukaryota; Metazoa; Arthropoda; Insecta; Diptera; Culicidae
Exons: 4
Source: RefSeq, a predicted model, not a curated record
GUGAAUUUAUGAGUUGUUUUUCAUUGUUGACAUUCAGCCAAGUCAGGAGGAAAUUGAAAAGUAAAGUGUACAAUUUUUCCAAGUAUAUUUGAAAUACACUAAUAAAAUAUCUGUUAUCUUGAUUAAAAUACCAAGUGUGAAUAAUGUGGUGGAAAAUCAGCAAGCUGAAUUGAUGCCAUUCGAUUGUUUCUUUUUAGCAUCCCUACUAGUCACUUCAAAAUGAUUCCGGUAAUUUGCUUCGUAAGUUGAACCGAUUUUUUCAAUCAAGUCACGAAGGAGACUCGACGGAUUCCAGAAUGUGACAAUCUGACAUUGCUGAUGUCCCUUAGAAGCGUUUUUGCUGAUAAUUGAUCAACUACGGUGGUAAAGGCAAAUGACCACAAUGGUUAAAACCAAAUAACGGCGGUUGGAAGACACGAACAUAAGGGAACAAGGAAGAGUUUGAGCUGCACUUCAAUGUGAAUCACUUUGUUCACAUUCACAAUUCUCGUUCACUGACAAACCAUUGAUUUGCUGACACUAUGCUGUUUACAUCCGAAGACGAUUAACCGAGCUAGUAGGAUAUCUAAAUCGAUGUAUAUGAUCGUUGCAAAACCAUUCCGUGACUGAAAGUUAGUAUUUGCUCAAGGUGUCUCAUAUUAGAGCAUGUAGAGAACCCUUUGGCUAUAAAGAAGAACCUUUUGGAUUAUAUAUAAAGGUCGCACGGUUCAGCACAUUACAUGUUGUGCGUUAUGAUGUUGUGCAUAAUCAGAUCGGACCACCUUGGAGCUAUUUCAAUAUCCACAUAAUAUUUUCCGACCUGUUAGACCAAAGAGGACUUGGAUGCAAAAUGGCAUCACAUAACAUGUUGCACUGGCAACGCGCGCAUCUAACAAUGUUUCAAAAUUGGUCUAGUAUAGCAAAUGAAUAAACCUUUACUUUAUCUGUAAAUUAUUAAAAAUAAAUUUUAGCAUAAAACUACUAAGAUGAAUUUUGACGCGCAGUUCAUUAUGGGCUAACACAGCCAUCUAUAGUAUCAGUACACAUGUCCUACAAUAAGUAAACCACAGUUGGAGCUCAACGCUAAGCUAAGACGGAACCAAGAAAAUCAAAUACUGAUUAGCACUUGUAUAAGCAUAUAUUUGAAAGCGUUCGAACGUAGCUAAAUAUGUCAAUUAUCCCUAUCACCCAU